Molecule: ribosomal RNA, 657 nt
Filed under: Salmonella enterica subsp. enterica serovar Enteritidis
Lineage: Bacteria; Pseudomonadati; Pseudomonadota; Gammaproteobacteria; Enterobacterales; Enterobacteriaceae
Description: bacterial SSU rRNA
Rfam family: Bacterial small subunit ribosomal RNA
Source: RNAcentral
UAGACCGCCUGGGGAGUACGGCCGCAAGGUUAAAACUCAAAUGAAUUGACGGGGGCCCGCACAAGCGGUGGAGCAUGUGGUUUAAUUCGAUGCAACGCGAAGAACCUUACCUGGUCUUGACAUCCACAGAAGAAUCCAGAGAUGGAUUUGUGCCUUCGGGAACUGUGAGACAGGUGCUGCAUGGCUGUCGUCAGCUCGUGUUGUGAAAUGUUGGGUUAAGUCCCGCAACGAGCGCAACCCUUAUCCUUUGUUGCCAGCGGUUAGGCCGGGAACUCAAAGGAGACUGCCAGUGAUAAACUGGAGGAAGGUGGGGAUGACGUCAAGUCAUCAUGGCCCUUACGACCAGGGCUACACACGUGCUACAAUGGCGCAUACAAAGAGAAGCGACCUCGCGAGAGCAAGCGGACCUCAUAAAGUGCGUCGUAGUCCGGAUUGGAGUCUGCAACUCGACUCCAUGAAGUCGGAAUCGCUAGUAAUCGUGGAUCAGAAUGCCACGGUGAAUACGUUCCCGGGCCUUGUACACACCGCCCGUCACACCAUGGGAGUGGGUUGCAAAAGAAGUAGGUAGCUUAACCUUCGGGAGGGCGCUUACCACUUUGUGAUUCAUGACUGGGGUGAAGUCGUAACAAGGUAACCGUAGGGGAACCUGCGGUUGGA